Molecule: long non-coding RNA, 1812 nt
Organism: Homo sapiens (human)
Lineage: Eukaryota; Metazoa; Chordata; Mammalia; Primates; Hominidae
Product: long intergenic non-protein coding RNA 2282
Source: Ensembl
ACAGUACAGAAGGCUUUUUGCAAAACAGUGAUUUCUCAGCUUUUCCGAAGAGGUUCCUAAAUGUGGCUGUAACCCUGACGUGAGAGUCGCUCCCGCCCCUACCUACAUCCCACACAUUUCAGGAGUCCCCUACGUAUUCUACAAAACACAGAACGACCAUAUGAGCCACUUCAGUCCUUCUCAGCAUUAGGUCUAAUUUCCGGAGGAGCCCUAACUGUCCUGUCCUGCCUACAUUGCCUGCCCUCUAACAUCCUGGGAAUGGGAAGUAACACUGGGAUCGGUGGCGGCAGAACUGCGGACCCUAACAACUUCAGAUUGUUGAAAGGGGGAGGGGAGAAUGGAAGAGAGGAAUGGAAAGGCAAAAGAAAAAACAUUUGUGUUCAUUUACACAUUUCCUGUGCAGAACAAAAAAGUCCCACCAUCAGCAAAAGAAGUCUCUUCCUCUAAAAUAGCAGCCAAAGAGAGAAAAUUAGAAUAUGCAUAAAGUCUUUCAUUUUCAUUCGCACAGAGCACGAUUUCCAAUUUCCGGCAGAUUUGUAUUUAAACUGCUCGAUUAAUCCCAAUUUCUGAACAGCAUUUUACUUAGCAUUUUCCCAAAACUCACCUAAAGAGUUAUUAUUCCCCUCCCAUCACCCUGUUUUGGAGCCUCCCUUUUCCCUAUUCUCCAACUGAGAAUAAGAAUUUCAUUGAUAAGACUGCAACUUUAUUUUUCCUGUCCAUUGUUUUCCUCUUAAAACUAGACUGAUGCAUUGGACCACAGUUGAAUGCAAGCUGGUUGUUGUCUGUGAAGCCGCGACUGCAAACGAGAGCCUGUUGGAAAGGAUAUGUUUUUGAAAUGUGUACCUAAAAGAGAAUAAACAUGAUAGGGCCAAUAGACUCUUGCAGAUCCUCUCAUGUCAUCAAAACCUUUCCCAUUCUACCCAGGUCAUAUCUUUUCACCACUAGCAAUAGCUGAGAUGCUUGGACAUAAUCCACCCUCCAAACCUUUCCUUCCCUCACCCCUUUUAAGGAGCUUGAUAGACGAUCAUGCAAUUCUCUUCAAAGGAAUAUUACUCUUAAAUAUUCAGAGUGUCAGUCCAUUAAAUCCCCCUACAGCCCAUUACUAAAAUAUUUUGCUUUGCCACUUGUGCAACAGAUCUGGCUGUAUCUGCCUUGAAAUUUUCUUUGUUGGAAAAAAUGUUAUUGAGCUUCAUUUGAAUAUCUUUUCUGAAAUAUCAUCUCUUGACUUGGGCUUACGGCUCCUGCUUUUGAAACUGUAUAUGUUUAUUUUACUUAGUAGUAGAAUGUUAGAAGAAGAAAAUUACUGCAUCUUGACUUACGGAAAAAAAAAUAUAUAUCUUAAUUCUAUCAACCCCUAAAUUCCUCACUCUUGCACACCCCAAGACAGAAAGAACCCUUUAUUUGAUUCAUAAUGUAAUCUAAGCAAAAUGUAGUGGUUCUGGCUUUCCUUCAGUGUUUAUAGAUCGCAUGUAAAUCCCAAUUAUGAGUAAUCAAAAACUUAGAAAUACUACUAUUUGUUCAGCUUUCAGUUUCUGUAAAGAACAUACAUAUUUGAACCAUAUGCAGCAUGGUAUAUGUAAUAUAGGUGCAUAAGCAUUUAAAUAUAUGGUUUAAGUAUCUGGUUAGCUAAACAGUCAUUAAGAUACUGGGAUAUAGAAGCAUAUUAAUUUUGUUAAAUGGGUCCAUAAACUCUGCAUGUGUAAUAGUGUCUGCAUGACUUACUACUUUGAAAUAACUGCUUUUAUUGUUUCUUUUUCUGUCAUGACAAAAGUAUUACACUAUUUUAGUUAUGCAUUUUUCUGUUGAGUUGGA